This is a small nucleolar RNA of Nerophis lumbriciformis (worm pipefish), 132 nucleotides long. RefSeq annotates it as small nucleolar RNA SNORA13. NCBI's taxonomy places the organism in Eukaryota, Metazoa, Chordata, Actinopteri, Syngnathiformes, Syngnathidae. The record is from RefSeq and is a predicted model, not a curated record.
UGCCUUUGUGUUGCCCUUUCAAUGCAUCAGUCGUGAACAGGGUGUCAACAAAGGCAGAUAUUGAUUCUUGCAGCUGUGACAGAAAUUCAUCAUCAGCGAUGCGUUUCUACACCGUGUGCUGCAAGCACAAAC